GCUGGAAUGGCCGAGUCGUUAAGGCGAGUGAUUUGAAUGACCUUGUGUCUCAAACAUCACUUGGGCAUUGCCCGCGUAGGUUCAAAUCCUGCUUCCAGCG
Cerrena zonata is the source of this 100-nucleotide non-coding RNA. The record is from the annotation of a GenBank genome assembly. Lineage: Eukaryota; Fungi; Basidiomycota; Agaricomycetes; Polyporales; Cerrenaceae.